UACGGAAGGCAGCAGGGGGAAUAUUGCACAAUGGGCGCAAGCCUGAUGCAGCCAUGCCGCGUGUAUGAAGAAGGCCUUCGGGUUGUAAAGUACUUUCAGUCGUGAGGAAGGUGUUAAGGUUAAUAACCUUAGCAAUUGACGUUAGCGACAGAAGAAGCACCGGCUAACUCCGUGCCAGCAGCCGCGGUAAUACGGAGGGUGCGAGCGUUAAUCGGAAUUACUGGGCGUAAAGGGCACGCAGGCGGUUAAUUAAGUUGGAUGUGAAAUCCCCGGGCUUAACCUGGGAAUGGCAUUCAAGACUGGUUAGCUAGAGUCUGUAGAGGGGGUAGAAUUCCAUGUGUAGCGGUGAAAUGCGUAGAGAUGUGGAGGAAUACCGGUGGCGAAGGCGGCCCCUGGACAAAGACUGACGCUCAUGUGCGAAAGCUGGGGAGCAAAC
Molecule: ribosomal RNA, 436 nt
Filed under: uncultured bacterium
Lineage: Bacteria
Description: bacterial SSU rRNA
Rfam family: Bacterial small subunit ribosomal RNA
Source: RNAcentral